AGAAUCAACGCUGGCGGCGUGCCUAACACAUGCAAGUCGAACGAGAAAGUGGAGCAAUCCAUGAGUAAAGUGGCGACCGGGUGAGUAACACGUGACUAACCUACCCUAGAGUGGGGAAUAACUUCGGGAAACCGAGGCUAAUACCGCAUAACAUCGCAGAGGGAAGCUCUUUGCGAUCAAAGGAGUAAUUCGCUCAAGGAGGGGGUCGCGGCUGAUUAGCUAGUUGGUGAGGUAACGGCCCACCAAGGCUAAGAUCAGUAUCCGGCCUGAGAGGGCGCACGGACACACUGGAACUGAAACACGGUCCAGACUCCUACGGGAGGCAGCAGUGGGGAAUUUUGCGCAAUGGGGGAAACCCUGACGCAGCAACGCCGCGUGGAGGAUGAAGUCCCUUGGGAUGUAAACUCCUUUCGAUCGGGACGAUUAUGACGGUACCGGAAGAAGAAGCACCGGCUAACUCUGCGCCAGCAGCCGC
This 475-nucleotide ribosomal RNA is filed under the name uncultured bacterium. RNAcentral's name for it is "SSU rRNA". It matches the Rfam family "Bacterial small subunit ribosomal RNA", at positions 26 to 518 of the family's 1533-position model. The record is from RNAcentral.